Molecule: long non-coding RNA, 5791 nt
Organism: Cyprinus carpio (common carp)
Lineage: Eukaryota; Metazoa; Chordata; Actinopteri; Cypriniformes; Cyprinidae
Exons: 3
Source: RefSeq, a predicted model, not a curated record
CUUUGUCGCAAAAACUUUGAUUGAUGAGGGUCAUAAAAAUUCAAAUUUAAAAACUAGUUAGAGUUUGUUACAAAUUAAAUAAGAAAACUAGGUUACUGAUUAUCUAUCUAUCUAUCUAUCUAUCUAUCUAUCUAAAACAAACAAACAAACAAAAAGUAUCAGAUACAUUCGUUAAACAGUACGUGAGAGUCAAAGCUUGUAACAUUCCAAUUAAAAAACUAUUUAGAGUUUGUUACAAAUUAAAUAAAAAGAAAACUAGGCUAGUGGUUAUCUAUCUAAAACAAAAAAGUAUCAGAUACGUUUGUUAAACACUACGUGAGAGUCAAAAAUCUUGUAACAUUACAUUUUAAAAACUAUUUAGAGUUUGUUACCAGUUAGAAAAGAAAAGAAAAAUACAGAGGUUUGCAGUAUUUGUAUCUUACCGUGAUCUAAAACAAAAAAGAAGCGAACGUUAAGCAAACAGUAGUUUUUCUGUGUUACAAAUCAGGAAAGUUAGCAUUUUGUCACACCGAUAGAAAAAGUUAAAAGAAAAAAAGAUUCCCAGCAAAGCUUACGUUGUUUUCCGUCAGAUCAACCUCACACGCCGCUGACAAACUCAGAAUGAGCUCAGGAGCACUUCAGUUAAGCCACACCUACAACCCUACCCUUAACGCUGGAGGAGUGACCAGCACAAAAUAGAUUGAAAUUUAUGUUAAAAAAUUAAAGUAAUGUUUUUAGUAAAUCGUCAUCAUUUCUUAAUUGGUGAAAACAUUCUACCUGUUUUUAACAUUAGACUGCCGUUUUUUACUUUAAAAUUACGAUCACCUAUACAAGUUUUCUUCUAAACAAUCACCUCCAAGCCACACGAAAAAUUUUUUUUUUUUUUUUUUUUUUUUUUUUUUUUAGUUUAGUUUAGUUAUUCACACUUAAUUUAUCAGUCUAAUUCCUUUAAUAUGUCUUUUAUUUUUGUCAGUCUUAACUUCUAACAUGCUAUAUCGGUUAAAACACACACACACACAUAUGCUUGCGCAAAUAUCUAACAGAAACGAAGUGUUUUGGAAUGUCUUUGAUUUCCUUCUGUAACGUUUGUUAUCAGUUGAAAUAGAUGUACAAUGUCUAAACUUUUACAACAUGGUACGAAGCGUAAAUAUUUCGUCUCAAGUAGUGCAGCAAAACGAGAACAGGACUGGGUGUUUGCAUUGUGUGAUUACUGAUGCGAACAUAUCAGUGUAUGGUAUAUUGAAAAGUUGUAAAACAUCUAAAAGUUUUCUGGGUUUGCAACUCAAUUGUAAACUGAGUUUUGAGGGUUCUGACAUUGUAAAUGUUGGUGUUGUGUGUCAACUAAAGUUCAGUGAUCAAAAACAGAUCGUGCUCACUGGUCAAAGGGUGACAAUUUAAACUAUUUUAUGAUCUAGAGCUGUGAGGUGCACUUUGCCAAAGUUUAGCCAAAAGCUCAAUGACAGGUCAAAAGGAUGAGACCUAUGAUUGUUUUUUAACAAGUCAGACUAUGGUAUAGGAAAUUUUGCAUAAUUUUAUUUAGUUAAUUUAGUUUAUUUUAGUUACAUUUAUUAUUUUUAUUCACACCUUGAUUUUUCAAGCCUCAACACAAACAUACACUGCAAAUGCACAUAAGUACACAAAUAUACAAAUAAACAAACUAGGUCACAAACACACACACAUGCAUUUAUGAGACAUACCUAAUACAAACAAGAGAAUUGAGAUCUUUUAUUUCCGAUGUAAGACAGAAGAACUUCAAAUGCAAAUAUCUACCCCGCUGAGAUGAAAGGUCGUGUCUACGCGCCAGGGUAUGUAACAAAGACCAGACAGUCUCUGGCGUAGAUCACGCUAGUAAUAUCACCCCCAGUUAAGUUGUAAAAGAAAAAAAUCUAAAAGAUGUUUCAUCUGUUGUUGCAUGUGCAUAAAUCAACGUUAUACAUUUAUGAGUAUUAAAGAUUUAUGGUAUUAGGGUACCCCCUACGGAUGGUUGUCGGAUUUUACGUGGUGUUCUCAAGUGCCGCCCCACACACCAAGUCCCGUUAAAAACCAAAAGUUUUGUUACGCUCAUUACCUGUAAAAUCUAUCUUCAAGUAGUGCUACGCUGAGAUCUCAACAAUAGAUGAAACAAUGGCUGACAAUUACCAGGGUAAGUGUUUUUCAUCUGAGUUAUUUAAAUAUAUUUUAAUGUGAAUAUAUGUUUAAUGUCUCUUGGUUAUAAUCUCUAGCUGGUUUUGAGAAUCAGGAUUUCAGUGAUGGUUUGGAACAGAUCCUUGAAGAGAUAUGUAAGUAUUUCCUCCUUUAAACUAUUCAAUGUCUAAUAAUAGCGACAAUAACUUUAUCAUUUUACCCAGAUGACCAGGCGGAGCUAUUUGCAUGUGAUGAUGAUGGCACUGUUAAUAACGGUGAGCACAUUGUUUCUGACAGUCACGUGGUGAUAUUACCUACAGAGGGCACGUUACAAGAGGUUGUGGUUAGCUUGGAAUCACAUCACAAACUAAACAACGUCACAAAUCCCACCCCCACCCACGUUCCGUCUUCAGAGGAACAGUCUCACAAGCUCCCAGACUGAGCGAGUGUUCACACCACAGAACAAGGGUAUGACGAAGGCGGCCUAACAGCGUGGACUGAUUCAAUGAUACAUGCGUGGGAUCAAGUGUCCUUCAGUGCUUCGGAAAGCGAGGAAGAGGAGGAAUUACCUCAUGAAAUUCCUCAGGAAUUGUUCCGUGAUCGUGAUUUAAACAGGAGGCUCGAUUAUGCUAUGCUGCCCCAUGUUAAUCGGAACUUUGAGACACUUUUUGACUUGAGCGGACAAACGUUAUUUAUCGGAAAGCAGAAGACAUCAUUGCUAGUGCACAAAGUGAUGUGGUAUCGAUUUUAAGAAAUAUCAUAGCGUGUCAACAACAACACAAAGAAUCCUUACGUCACGCGGCUGAGUUUUGGAGCAGUUGCCACGAACAACUGUAUGGUGAAUUCCGACAGUUUCAGCAGAGCAUGAGUGCCGUACUGGCGGAAAUCCAUGAGGUACAAAUCGAGCAACGUCUUACGGUUAAUGCCUUAUCGCUGAUUACUGAACGUUUAAAUCUUAUUCAAAGAAUGUUAACAGAUUUGUUCAAUCGUAUGAUGAGAGGUUGUCCGUGAUAUGUAUUGAAUUGUUGAUUGUUUUUGUUUUGUGUUAUUGACAUCGAUUCAUUAUUAUCAUUGGUUAUUUCUUAAUUUAUUACUAUUGUUUGUUACUGACAACGAAUCUUUAUUAUCAUUGGUUAUUUCUUACAUUUAUUAAUAUUGUUUGUUAUAGACAUUGAUUUAUUACAUGCAUUAUUGUAUGUUAUUGCCAGCCAUUUGGCGUUGUUUUACUUAUGGAGAAAUGGUGGUUUUGAAUUUAUACUGUGCAUAUCUGUUUUGUUAUAUCUGGUUAUGUCGCAUUGUGAAUGGUGUUGCUGUUUUCAGGAGUGUACACGUUUGUCUUAAGCUUGAAAAAGGUGUAUUUCUGAUUUUUAAAAUAAAAACAAUAAUAAUUCAAAAUGAGCAGUAAAAGAUGUCACGAUGAUUUACAUCCCCACACUUCAAAAGAUGAUCAGAGAUCAUUAAGACAUGAUUUUCCCAGACACGAUUUUCAAAACAAUAGCGAACAGUUACGUGAAAUGAUUAACAAUCAUUUUCAGAUGUUACAGCCUGAUUCGCUUAACAUGGUGGAUAGAUUACACAAACUUAUAGACGAACAACACGAAUGGUUGGGUGCAGCUAUAAACAGCGAUGAACAGGUCGGUGCAGGGCCAUCUAAUAAUGAACCCCUUUAGGUUAUGAUCCCUCAGCUCUAGAUAUGGGUCUCAGCCAGAAUCAUAUAGCUAGACUAGUGAUAGAAGGAGGUAGUGUGGGUGAUUUUACGAUUGUCCCCAGAGCCAGAUUUAAUGGUUUAGAAAUUCACAGAACUUUAAAUUUUCACGAAAUAGCCACAGAUGAUUAUGCAGCCUAUAAUAUCUUUUUGCAGGAUAUUUUGAAUGAGAUUGUAGCGUUUUCCAGAUUGAUGGCGGGUGAAGGUGGUUUUCUGAACAUAUCUCUGCAAGGUGCAAGUCUCCCCACAUAUAUUAAUGCAGUUCUAACACCUGAUAACAAUCACAAUGUUAAUGUAUUUGUUGACCAAAUCGAACAGGCAGUUCAAAGCAAUACGGAUGUGGGUUUUGAUACUGCUUUAGAGUUAUGUGUGUCUGUAGCGCGAAACAAACAAGGUGGUGUACAUAGGAAGUUUGCCGACCUAGCCCAUAAUCAGGUCAUACAGAAAAAUAGAUUGCAUUUGUUCAGCCCCAAAAAUUUCAUAGACAAUAUGUGUUUUAGCAUGUGCAUAGCUCACUUUUUAAAUCCUCAAAGCCCCGACGGUGAAUUGGUGAGAAUAGCCAGAAAUAUACAUACAGAUCUGGGUUACGAUCCACAAGAUAAAAUUGCAUUGCAUGAUGUUUCUAAAUUUGAAGCCCUUCUAGACCUGAAAAUAGUCAUCUUUCACAGUGUAGGACCUUGGUGAACAGUCACAUCAAUAACUGCAGAAUCGGCUGCUUCUGCCACUGGAAUUAAAAGAGCAUAUGUCCUCCCAUCUGCACAAUCUGAACACUGUUAAUGAUUAAGCUAAAGAGGAACAAUGCUCCGUUGUAUGUCAACUUUAACAGAAGGGACAACGUGAUUCCGCAACAGAAGACUUCUGUUCCAAAAUACCCCUGCUCAUCAUAAAACUAAUCAGGAGCUAAUCAUGUGACGUCGACAUCCUGUGUAAGCUUCCUGUCAGCCAUGCGACUAUCCCCUAAAAGGGAGGUGAUUAAAUGAACUCUGAUCACAAGACCCAAACCCGCAGGAAUCAUCAAUAAUUAAUGGACCACAACAAAGGGUCCAUACAGCGUGUCUGUCCAUGACUUGUGACCUGCUCGUGAAAUUUUUCUACAAACUGAACUUUUCAAUAAAUAACCUCAAAAAGGACAACCAGUGAAGAAUCUGAAGGUUUAACUAUAUUCACAAAUAAUAUGUUUUAUGUCUUAUAUUUGUUUGAUGUGUUCAAAUGUAAUCGGUGCAACUUUAACCAAUGUCUUAUUGGUUUUAGCAGAUAGUGCUAUUAAAUGUGUGUUAAGAUAUGGAAAGUUUAGUGUUGAACGAAAGCUCACGUUAUUUGCUUAAACUUGGAGCGAAUGCUUAAUCAAUGUACAAAGAGAAACAGUACAGGGCGCGUCUAAGCUCUGCAACAGCAUCCCAUUGGAAGAUCGCGUCGUGGGAUGGACCAAAUCCACUUGGAUAAAACCCCAAGGCCUGAACUAAUUCAGUGCUUGCUUGCUUGCCCUUCAAACCACCGGCUUUUAGCCAUCAGAGUGCUUGCAAGUCAUAAAGAACUUCAAUUUUCCGUGACCGAAUCUUCAAAGCUAACGCCGCGCAAACGAAAGGACUCAGAAGAAACUUUGUCCGCAGCCAAGGCAAGAGCUGUUGGAUCUCUCAAAAUCGCCGGGCAGUCAACUGACCAAUCAAGGCAAAGGGUACCCCCAGACGUCAUCUACGCAACAGCGAAUCCCAGCCGGUAUUUCCCAUUCAGCGUUACGCGAGCCAAGUAGACGAAAUGACGCCGCGGUCAGCAGCAAAAUCACAAGUAAAGGCAAACAAAACCUCUAUCUAUUGCUGAAAUGGUGCAAAGUUGUUAUUUAGUUGUAAAGAUAAACUAAUGCUCUGCUUUUACUUAUUUUCGGAACGCCUGUGAAUUUAGUAGAGAUUUUCUCCAUAACUCACCUCAUAAAUCUGUUGCAACUGUGUGUAUGUGUAUGUAUGUGUGUGUGUGUGUGUGUUCAUU